CCGGCGAGCUGGGGCUUCACGGAGCAUGGACUGUACAUUCUCAUCUUUUAUUUUUUCUUUAUCUUAUUUUUCGCCAAAUAAUUUCGAGAUAUUAACUGAAUCUAGAUCCUCCCAUGCUAGCUGAUCUUUCAGCUCCCCACUUUUAAGUUCCGCUCUCGCUUCCCCCUUGCUGCGUUUGCAAUAUUAUCUGCUAUCUUACUCCUAUCUAUCUUGAAUAAAACAUCUGUCUCAGGUACCAGAGGAAGGAAGGCCGUUCCGGCUUCAUACCAGCUUGCAUGGGCAAAACAUCAUUGACUUGGGCUCUUGUUCAACUUCAAUUCUACUCUUGAUGUGCGGUUCGCUUAACCCAAGUUUCCAUGGAAGAAAAAUAGAAAAGAAUUACAUAUCCCCUCUUCACGCAAGCC
RNAcentral lists this small RNA (404 nucleotides) under Histoplasma capsulatum var. duboisii H88. Its description in RNAcentral is "Histoplasma capsulatum H88 hypothetical RNA". Lineage: Eukaryota; Fungi; Ascomycota; Eurotiomycetes; Onygenales; Ajellomycetaceae. The record is from RNAcentral.